Molecule: ribosomal RNA, 920 nt
Filed under: Nothophoma prosopidis
Lineage: Eukaryota; Fungi; Ascomycota; Dothideomycetes; Pleosporales; Didymellaceae
Description: eukaryotic LSU rRNA
Rfam family: Eukaryotic large subunit ribosomal RNA
Source: RNAcentral
CCCGCUGAACUUAAGCAUAUCAAUAAGCGGAGGAAAAGAAACCAACAGGGAUUGCCCUAGUAACGGCGAGUGAAGCGGCAACAGCUCAAAUUUGAAAUCUGGCGUCUUUGGCGUCCGAGUUGUAAUUUGCAGAGGGCGCUUUGGCAUUGGCAGCGGUCCAAGUUCCUUGGAACAGGACGUCACAGAGGGUGAGAAUCCCGUACGUGGUCGCUAGCCUUUACCGUGUAAAGCCCCUUCGACGAGUCGAGUUGUUUGGGAAUGCAGCUCUAAAUGGGAGGUAAAUUUCUUCUAAAGCUAAAUACUGGCCAGAGACCGAUAGCGCACAAGUAGAGUGAUCGAAAGAUGAAAAGCACUUUGGAAAGAGAGUUAAAAAGCACGUGAAAUUGUUGAAAGGGAAGCGCUUGCAGCCAGACUUGCCUGUAGUUGCUCAUCCGGGUUUCUACCCGGUGCACUCUUCUACAGGCAGGCCAGCAUCAGUUUGGGCGGUUGGAUAAAGGUCUCUGUCAUGUACCUCUCUUCGGGGAGAACUUAUAGGGGAGACGACAUGCAACCAGCCUGGACUGAGGUCCGCGCAUCUGCUAGGAUGCUGGCGUAAUGGCUGUAAGCGGCCCGUCUUGAAACACGGACCAAGGAGUCUAACAUCUAUGCGAGUGUUUGGGUGUCAAGCCCGAGCGCGUAAUGAAAGUGAACGGAGGUGGGAACCUUUCGGGGUGCACCAUCGACCGAUCCUGAUGUCUUCGGAUGGAUUUGAGUAAGAGCAUAGCUGUUGGGACCCGAAAGAUGGUGAACUAUGCUUGAAUAGGGUGAAGCCAGAGGAAACUCUGGUGGAGGCUCGCAGCGGUUCUGACGUGCAAAUCGAUCGUCAAAUUUGGGCAUAGGGGCGAAAGACUAAUCGAACUAUCUAGUAGCUGGUUCCUGCC